GAGAUACCCUUAUGGGGCAGGACUUGCUUCAGUGGGGCUUUGGUGCUCACUGAGUCUGCUCCUUGAGUGUGUCGCU
RNAcentral lists this microRNA precursor (76 nucleotides) under Myotis myotis. RNAcentral describes it as "mir-9229 microRNA precursor family". It matches the Rfam family "mir-9229 microRNA precursor family". The record is from Rfam by way of RNAcentral. RNAcentral also lists the same sequence under 1 other name. Lineage: Eukaryota; Metazoa; Chordata; Mammalia; Chiroptera; Vespertilionidae.